CCUACGGGAGACAGCAGUGGGGAAUAUUGGUCAAUGGGCGGAAGUCUGACCCAGCAACGCCGCGUGCUCGAAGACGGGUCUAUGGGUUGUAAACUUCUUUUGUACGAGGCUAAACCUCAAUGCGUGUAUUCUUCUGAAAGUCCUGUACGAAUAAGGAUGGUCUAACUCCGUGCCAGCAGCCGCGGUAGUACGGAGGAUGCAAGCGUUCGCCGGAUUGACUGGGUGUAAAGGAUGCGUAGGCGGAUGGAUAAGUUAGAGGUGAAAGGUCCGGGCGUAACCUGGGAACUGACUUUAAUACUGGGGAUCUAGAGAGCAGAUGAGGGAGGUGGAAUGCAUGGUGUAGCGGUGAAAUGCGUAGAGAUUAGACAGAACACCGAUGGCGAAGGCAGCUUACUAAUCUAUACCUGACGUUGAGGCGCGAAAGCGUGGGGAGCAAACAGGAUUAGAUACCCCAGUAGUC
Molecule: ribosomal RNA, 460 nt
Filed under: uncultured bacterium
Lineage: Bacteria
Description: partial 16S ribosomal RNA
Rfam family: Bacterial small subunit ribosomal RNA
Source: RNAcentral